GUACACUCCUACGGGAGGCAGCAGUGGGGAAUUUUGGACAAUGGGCGAAAGCCUGAUCCAGCAAUGCCGCGUGAGUGAAGACGGCCUUCGGGUUGUAAAGCUCUUUUGUCAGGGAAGAAACGGUGAAAGCUAAUAUCUUUUGCUAAUGACGGUACCUGACGAAUAAGCACCGGCUAACUACGUGCCAGCAGCCGCGGUAAUACGUAGGGUGCAAGCGUUAAUCGGAAUUACUGGGCGUAAAGCGUGCGCAGGCGGUUUUGUAAGUCUGAUGUGAAAUCCCCGGGCUCAACCUGGGAAUUGCAUUGGAGACUGCAAGGCUAGAAUCUGGCAGAGGGGGGUAGAAUUCCACGUGUAGCAGUGAAAUGCGUAGAUAUGUGGAGGAACACCGAUGGCGAAGGCAGCCCCCUGUGUCAAGAUUGACGCUCAUGCACGAAAGCGUGUGGAGCAAACAGGAUUAGAUACCCUGGUAGUCCCAU
RNAcentral lists this ribosomal RNA (476 nucleotides) under uncultured organism. RNAcentral's name for it is "partial 16S ribosomal RNA". It matches the Rfam family "Bacterial small subunit ribosomal RNA", at positions 331 to 798 of the family's 1533-position model. The record is from RNAcentral.